CUCACACUGUCUAUGAAUCUGUCAGAGGCUCUGAGGACACUGAAAAUGGUGGACCCGCGGGUCAAUCCGGUGACGUCACAUUUUCUGUGAUUGCGUUAAAAAAUCUUCACAAGAGUGGGAAACCCGCCGACCCAGAGGAGAGCUCUGGCCGCUCUGAUGCGAGGAGAGGAUCGACCACAGGACACAGAGGAGCUUUAGGCAGACCUUGUGAUGCAACUGAUGAAGAUGGCCAUCAUCGGUGAUGGCUGUGCAACCACUGUCGUCGAGGGGACCAAAAUCCUGGAAGGGAUCGAUGUCGCCAGAUCCUGCGAUUUGCUGAUGAGCAUAAUAUAGGCUCUUUACCUCAGCUGUCCCAAGCAGCUGAAGUUCACCUGUGAGGUAUAUCAGAAGUGACUCCUGGUGCUUAAUGUACAAAAGGCCAGCUCAAAAGCAAUGAAUCUUAAAGUGCAGUAUUUUCUGAUUGCGCUCUAAAACCUCAGCACUCUUAGUGAGUUGGAAGUUUGCACUGAGGACAUCUCUACAUUACGGACAGUGUUAAUCCAUAACACUGGUGUUACCGUUACAGUUAUCAAAGGUUGAGGUUUCAUCAGGUUAUACACUUGAUGUGUUGCACUUAAGAAUUGCCUUUAGAAUUGCUGUUGUCUUGUAUACUCAAAGGCCUGUUCUAUUCAUUCAAAAUUUCUGUGAUUCAAACAGUCCUUAUUUUGUAAUCGUGAACAGUAGGCCAUAUAUUUAAUUUCCUAAGGCCACAGUCACCAUAGAUAUUUGUGUUAAUAUGUUUUGAAUGUAAUGUGGUGAUGAUGUGA
Myripristis murdjan (pinecone soldierfish) is the source of this 806-nucleotide long non-coding RNA. RefSeq lists it as uncharacterized. NCBI's taxonomy places the organism in Eukaryota, Metazoa, Chordata, Actinopteri, Holocentriformes, Holocentridae. The transcript is spliced from 4 exons. The record is from RefSeq and is a predicted model, not a curated record.